This 254-nucleotide ribosomal RNA is filed under the name uncultured bacterium. RNAcentral describes it as "partial 16S ribosomal RNA". It matches the Rfam family "Bacterial small subunit ribosomal RNA", at positions 524 to 776 of the family's 1533-position model. The record is from RNAcentral.
CACGUAGGGGGCAAGCGUUGUCCGGAUUUAUUGGGCGUAAAGAGCUCGUAGGCGGUUCGGUAAGUCGGGUGUGAAACCUCCAGGCUCAACCUGGAGACGCCACCCGAUACUGCUGUGACUAGAGUCCGGUAGGGGAGCGUGGAAUUCCUGGUGUAGCGGUGAAAUGCGCAGAUAUCAGGAGGAACACCGGUGGCGAAGGCGGUUCUCUGGGCCUUACCUGACACUGAGGAGCGAAAGCGUGGGGAGCGAACAGG